AAGUCGUAACAAGGUUUCCGUAGGUGAACCUGCGGAAGGAUCAUUAAAUUCAGUAGCUUGCUACUGUUAGGGGGGGUCUAUUAGUCUGUAUAGUAUCACUACUGAUGAGCAGCACGACCCUCUGUCUAUACCCUUGUCUUUUGCGCACUCAUGUUUCCUCGGCGGCUUGAUACCCGCCGGCUGGAUCAAUCUAUAACCUUUUUAAUUUUCAAUCAGCGUCUGAAAAACCUGAUAAUUACAACUUUCAACAACGGAUCUCUUGGUUCUG
Molecule: unclassified non-coding RNA, 268 nt
Filed under: fungal sp.
Lineage: Eukaryota; Fungi
Description: partial internal transcribed spacer region
Rfam family: Eukaryotic small subunit ribosomal RNA (bases 1-46)
Source: RNAcentral